GGUUAAGCGACUAAGCGUACACGGUGGAUGCCCGGCAGUCAGAGGCGAUGAAGGACGUGCUAAUCUGCGAAAAGCGUCGGUAAGGUGAUAUGAACCGUUACAGCCGGCGAUGUCCGAAUGGGGAAACCCAGUGCAAUUCGUUGCACUAUCGUUAACUGAAUACAUAGGUUAACGAGGCGAACCGGGGGAACUGAAACAUCUAAGUACCCCGAGGAAAAGAAAUCAACCGAGAUUCCCCCAGUAGCGGCGAGCGAACGGGGAGCAGCCCAGAGUCUGAAUCAGCUUGUGUGUUAGUGGAACGGUCUGGAAAGUCCGACGGUACAGGGUGAUAGUCCCGUACACCAAAAUGCACAGGUUGUGAACUCGAAGAGUAGGGCGGGACACGUGGUAUCCUGUCUGAAUAUGGGGGACCAUCCUCCAAGGCUAAAUACUCCUGACUGACCGAUAGUGAACCAGUACCGUGAGGGAAAGGCGAAAAGAACCCCGGCGAGGGGAGUGAAAAAGAACCUGAAACCGUGUACGUACAAGCAGUGGGAGCACCUUCGGGUGUGACUGCGUACCUUUGUAUAAUGGGUCAGCGACUUAUAUUCUGUAGCAAGGUUAACCGUAUAGGGGAGCCGCAGGGAAACCGAGUCUUAACUGGGCGUUAAGUUGCAGGGUAUAGACCCGAAACCCGGUGAUCUAGCCAUGGGCAGGUUGAAGGUUGGGUAACACUAACUGGAGGACCGAACCGACUAAUGUUGAAAAAUUAGCGGAUGACUUGUGGCUGGGGGUGAAAGGCCAAUCAAACCGGGAGAUAGCUGGUUCUCCCCGAAAGCUAUUUAGGUAGCGCCUCGUGAACUCAUCUUCGGGGGUAGAGCACUGUUUCGGCUAGGGGGUCAUCCCGACUUACCAACCCGAUGCAAACUACGAAUACCGAAGAAUGUUAUCACGGGAGACACACGGCGGGUGCUAACGUCCGUCGUGAAGAGGGAAACAACCCAGACCGCCAGCUAAGGUCCCAAAGUCAUGGUUAAGUGGGAAACGAUGUGGGAAGGCACAGACAGCCAGGAUGUUGGCUUAGAAGCAGCCAUCAUUUAAAGAAAGCGUAAUAGCUCACUGGUCGAGUCGGCCUGCGCGGAAGAUGUAACGGGGCUAAACCAUGCACCGAAGCUGCGGCAGCGACACUAUGUGUUGUUGGGUAGGGGAGCGUUCUGUAAGCCUGCGAAGGUGACCUGUGAGGGUUGCUGGAGGUAUCAGAAGUGCGAAUGCUGACAUAAGUAACGAUAAAGCGGGUGAAAAGCCCGCUCGCCGGAAGACCAAGGGUUCCUGUCCAACGUUAAUCGGGGCAGGGUGAGUCGACCCCUAAGGCGAGGCCGAAAGGCGUAGUCGAUGGGAAACAGGUUAAUAUUCCUGUACUUGGUGUUACUGCGAAGGGGGACGGAGAAGGCUAUGUUAGCCGGGCGACGGUUGUCCCGGUUUAAGCAUGUAGGCUGAUUAUCCAGGCAAAUCCGGAUAAUCAAGGCUGAGGUGUGAUGACGAGGCACUACGGUGCUGAAGUAACAAAUGCCCUGCUUCCAGGAAAAGCCUCUAAGCAUCAGGUAACAUUAAAUCGUACCCCAAACCGACACAGGUGGUCAGGUAGAGAAUACCAAGGCGCUUGAGAGAACUCGGGUGAAGGAACUAGGCAAAAUGGUGCCGUAACUUCGGGAGAAGGCACGCUGGUGUGUAGGUGAAGUCCCUGCGGAUGGAGCUGAGACCAGUCGAAGAUACCAGCUGGCUGCAACUGUUUAUUAAAAACACAGCACUGUGCAAACACGAAAGUGGACGUAUACGGUGUGACGCCUGCCCGGUGCCGGAAGGUUAAUUGAUGGGGUUAUCCGUAAGGAGAAGCUCUUGAUCGAAGCCCCGGUAAACGGCGGCCGUAACUAUAACGGUCCUAAGGUAGCGAAAUUCCUUGUCGGGUAAGUUCCGACCUGCACGAAUGGCGUAAUGAUGGCCAGGCUGUCUCCACCCGAGACUCAGUGAAAUUGAACUCGCUGUGAAGAUGCAGUGUACCCGCGGCAAGACGGAAAGACCCCGUGAACCUUUACUAUAGCUUGACACUGAACAUUGAGCCUUGAUGUGUAGGAUAGGUGGGAGGCUUUGAAGCGUGGACGCCAGUCUGCGUGGAGCCAACCUUGAAAUACCACCCUUUAAUGUUUGAUGUUCUAACGUUGGCCCCUGACCGGGGUUGCGGACAGUGUCUGGUGGGUAGUUUGACUGGGGCGGUCUCCUCCCAAAGCGUAACGGAGGAGCACGAAGGUUAGCUAAUCCUGGUCGGACAUCAGGAGGUUAGUGCAAUGGCAUAAGCUAGCUUGACUGCGAGCGUGACGGCGCGAGCAGGUGCGAAAGCAGGUCAUAGUGAUCCGGUGGUUCUGAAUGGAAGGGCCAUCGCUCAACGGAUAAAAGGUACUCCGGGGAUAACAGGCUGAUACCGCCCAAGAGUUCAUAUCGACGGCGGUGUUUGGCACCUCGAUGUCGGCUCAUCACAUCCUGGGGCUGAAGUAGGUCCCAAGGGUAUGGCUGUUCGCCAUUUAAAGUGGUACGCGAGCUGGGUUUAGAACGUCGUGAGACAGUUCGGUCCCUAUCUGCCGUGGGCGCUGGAGAAUUGAGGGGGCUGCUCCUAGUACGAGAGGACCGGAGUGGACGCAUCACUGGUGUUCGGGUUGUCAUGCCAAUGGCACUGCCCGGUAGCUAAAUGCGGAAGAGAUAAGUGCUGAAAGCAUCUAAGCACGAAACUUGCCCCGAGAUGAGUUCUCCCUGAGACUUUAAGUCUCCUGAAGGAACGUUAAAGACGAUGACGUUGAUAGGCCGGGUGUGUAAGCGCAGCGAUGCGUUGAGCUAACCGGUACUAAUGAACCGUGAGGCUUAACCUU
This 2897-nucleotide ribosomal RNA is filed under the name Klebsiella pneumoniae. Its description in RNAcentral is "23S ribosomal RNA". It matches the Rfam family "Bacterial large subunit ribosomal RNA". The record is from RNAcentral. Lineage: Bacteria; Pseudomonadati; Pseudomonadota; Gammaproteobacteria; Enterobacterales; Enterobacteriaceae.